GAUGAACGCUAGCUACAGGCUUAACACAUGCAAGUCGAGGGGAAACGACAUCGAAAGCUUGCUUUUGAUGGGCGUCGACCGGCGCACGGGUGAGUAACGCGUAUCCAACCUGCCCAUCACUUGGGAAUAACCUUGCGAAAGUAAGACUAAUACCCAAUGAUAUCCCACGAAGGCAUCGGAAUGGGAUUAAAGAUUUAUCGGUGAUGGAUGGGGAUGCGUCUGAUUAGCUUGUUGGCGGGGUAACGGCCCACCAAGGCAACGAUCAGUAGGGGUUCUGAGAGGAAGGUCCCCCACAUUGGAACUGAGACACGGUCCAAACUCCUACGGGAGGCAGCAGUGAGGAAUAUUGGUCAAUGGGCGAGAGCCUGAACCAGCCAAGUAGCGUGCAGGAAGACGGCCCUAUGGGUUGUAAACUGCUUUUAUAAGGGAAUAAAGUGGGUCACGUGUGACUUUCUGCAUGUACCUUAUGAAUAAGGACCGGCUAAUUCCGUG
RNAcentral lists this ribosomal RNA (492 nucleotides) under uncultured bacterium. RNAcentral describes it as "partial 16S ribosomal RNA". It matches the Rfam family "Bacterial small subunit ribosomal RNA", at positions 28 to 507 of the family's 1533-position model. The record is from RNAcentral.